The sequence is a ribosomal RNA, 572 nucleotides long. It matches the Rfam family "Eukaryotic large subunit ribosomal RNA", at positions 63 to 616 of the family's 3401-position model.
AACUAACAAGGAUUCCCCUAGUAACGGCGAGUGAAGAGGGAAAAGCUCAAAUUUAAAAUCUGGCGGUCUACGGCCGUCCGAGUUGUAAUCUAGAGAAGUGUUUUCCGCGCUGGACCGUGUACAAGUCCUUUGGAACAAGGCGUCAUAGAGGGUGAGAAUCCCGUCUACGACACGGACUGCCAGCGCUUUGUGAUACACUCUCAACGAGUCGAGUUGUUUGGGAAUGCAGCUCAAAAUGGGUGGUAAAUUCCAUCUAAAGCUAAAUAUUGGCGAAAGACCGAUAGCGAACAAGUACCGUGAGGGAAAGAUGAAAGCACUUUGGAAAGAGAGUAAACAGUACGUGAAAUUGUUGAAAGGGAACGCUUGAAGUCAGUCGCGUCUUCAGAAAUCAGCUGGGCUUCUGCCUAGUGGACUUUUCUGUGGGACGGGCCAGCAUCAGUUUUGGCUGCCACAAAAAGGUGGGAGAAGGUGGCACCUGCGUGUGUGUUAUAGCCUCCGAUCGUAUGUGGCAGCCGGGAUUGAGGACCGCAGCACGCCUUUAUGGCCGGGGUUCGCCCACGUAACGUGCUUAG